UAGCAAUAGCUUAAAACUCAAAGGACUUGGCGGUGCUUCAUACCCCUCUAGAGGAGCCUGUUCUAUAAUCGAUAAACCCCGAUAAACCUCACCAAUUCUUGCCAACACAGUCUAUAUACCGCCAUCUUCAGCAAACCCUAAAAAGGAACAAAAGUAAGCGCAAUCAUAGUACAUAAAAAAGUUAGGUCAAGGUGUAACCUAUGAAAUGGGAAGAAAUGGGCUACAUUUUCUUAAAUCAAGAA
Molecule: ribosomal RNA, 242 nt
Filed under: Tragelaphus oryx (common eland)
Lineage: Eukaryota; Metazoa; Chordata; Mammalia; Artiodactyla; Bovidae
Description: partial 12S ribosomal RNA
Rfam family: Bacterial small subunit ribosomal RNA
Source: RNAcentral